AUCUAUGACUCCAUCGUCGAACUGAUCGCCGAUCGUCGAAUCUAUGACUCCGUCGCCGAACUGAUUGUCGAUCGUCGAACCAACGGUUUGAUCGUCGAUCGCCGAAUCUACGACUCCGUCACCAAACUGAUCGCCGAUCAUCGAACCAACGGCUCGAUUGCCGAUCAUCGAAUCUACAACUUCGUCGUCGAACAAAUCG
This 199-nucleotide long non-coding RNA is filed under the name Elaeis guineensis (African oil palm). RNAcentral describes it as "long non-coding RNA (EGUI_LNC009937)". The record is from RNAcentral. Lineage: Eukaryota; Viridiplantae; Streptophyta; Magnoliopsida; Arecales; Arecaceae.